UUAAGCGACUAAGCGUACACGGUGGAUGCCCUGGCAGUCAGAGGCGAUGAAGGACGUGCUAAUCUGCGAAAAGCGCCGGCGAGGUGAUAUGAACCCUUGACCCGGCGAUGUCCGAAUGGGGAAACCCAGUGUGUUUCGACACACUAUCGUUAACUGAAUACAUAGGUUAACGAGGCGAACCGGGGGAACUGAAACAUCUAAGUACCCCGAGGAAAAGAAAUCAACCGAGAUUCCCCCAGUAGCGGCGAGCGAACGGGGAGCAGCCCGGAGUCUGAAUCAGCUUGUGUGUUAGUGGAACGGUCUGGAAAGUCCGACGGUACAGGGUGAUAGUCCCGUACACGAAAAUGCACAGGUUGUGAACUCGAAGAGUAGGGCGGGACACGUGGUAUCCUGUCUGAAUAUGGGGGGACCAUCCUCCAAGGCUAAAUACUCCUGACUGACCGAUAGUGAACCAGUACCGUGAGGGAAAGGCGAAAAGAACCCCGGCGAGGGGAGUGAAAAAGAACCUGAAACCGUGUACGUACAAGCAGUGGGAGCACCUUCGGGUGUGACUGCGUACCUUUUGUAUAAUGGGUCAGCGACUUAUAUUCUGUAGCAAGGUUAACCGUAUAGGGGAGCCGAAGGGAAACCGAGUCUUAACUGGGCGUUAAGUUGCAGGGUAUAGACCCGAAACCCGGUGAUCUAGCCAUGGGCAGGUUGAAGGUUGGGUAACACUAACUGGAGGACCGAACCGACUAAUGUUGAAAAAUUAGCGGAUGACCUGUGGCUGGGGGUGAAAGGCCAAUCAAACCGGGAGAUAGCUGGUUCUCCCCGAAAGCUAUUUAGGUAGCGCCUCGUGAACUCAUCUUCGGGGGUAGAGCACUGUUUCGGCUAGGGGGCCAUCCCGGCUUACCAACCCGAUGCAAACUACGAAUACCGAAGAAUGUUAUCACGGGAGACACACGGCGGGUGCUAACGUCCGUCGUGAAGAGGGAAACAACCCAGACCGCCAGCUAAGGUCCCAAAGUCAUGGUUAAGUGGGAAACGAUGUGGGAAGGCACAGACAGCCAGGAUGUUGGCUUAGAAGCAGCCAUCAUUUAAAGAAAGCGUAAUAGCUCACUGGUCGAGUCGGCCUGCGCGGAAGAUGUAACGGGGCUAAACCAUGCACCGAAGCUGCGGCAGCGACACUAUGUGUUGUUGGGUAGGGGAGCGUUCUGUAAGCCGUUGAAGGUGUGCUGUGAGGCAUGCUGGAGGUAUCAGAAGUGCGAAUGCUGACAUAAGUAACGAUAAAGCGGGUGAAAAGCCCGCUCGCCGGAAGACCAAGGGUUCCUGUCCAACGUUAAUCGGGGCAGGGUGAGUCGACCCCUAAGGCGAGGCCGAAAGGCGUAGUCGAUGGGAAACAGGUUAAUAUUCCUGUACUUGGUGUUACUGCGAAGGGGGGACGGAGAAGGCUAUGUCAGCCGGGCGACGGUUGUCCCGGUUUAAGCAUGUAGGCGGAGGUUCCAGGUAAAUCCGGUACCUUUUAACGCUGAGGUGUGAUGACGAGGCACUACGGUGCUGAAGUGAUAAAUGCCCUGCUUCCAGGAAAAGCCUCUAAGCAUCAGGUAACACGAAAUCGUACCCCAAACCGACACAGGUGGUCAGGUAGAGAAUACCAAGGCGCUUGAGAGAACUCGGGUGAAGGAACUAGGCAAAAUGGUGCCGUAACUUCGGGAGAAGGCACGCUGAUAGGUAGGUGAAGCCCCUGCGGGCGGAGCUGAAAUCAGUCGAAGAUACCAGCUGGCUGCAACUGUUUAUUAAAAACACAGCACUGUGCAAACACGAAAGUGGACGUAUACGGUGUGACGCCUGCCCGGUGCCGGAAGGUUAAUUGAUGGGGUUAGCGGCAACGCGAAGCUCUUGAUCGAAGCCCCGGUAAACGGCGGCCGUAACUAUAACGGUCCUAAGGUAGCGAAAUUCCUUGUCGGGUAAGUUCCGACCUGCACGAAUGGCGUAAUGAUGGCCAGGCUGUCUCCACCCGAGACUCAGUGAAAUUGAACUCGCUGUGAAGAUGCAGUGUACCCGCGGCAAGACGGAAAGACCCCGUGAACCUUUACUAUAGCUUGACACUGAACACUGGUCCUUGAUGUGUAGGAUAGGUGGGAGGCUUUGAAGCGUGGACGCCAGUCUGCGUGGAGCCAUCCUUGAAAUACCACCCUUUAAUGGCUGGUGUUCUAACGUAGACCCGUGAUCCGGGUUGCGGACAGUGUCUGGUGGGUAGUUUGACUGGGGCGGUCUCCUCCCAAAGAGUAACGGAGGAGCACGAAGGUUGGCUAAUCCUGGUCGGACAUCAGGAGGUUAGUGCAAUGGCAUAAGCCAGCUUGACUGCGAGCGUGACGGCGCGAGCAGGUGCGAAAGCAGGUCAUAGUGAUCCGGUGGUUCUGAAUGGAAGGGCCAUCGCUCAACGGAUAAAAGGUACUCCGGGGAUAACAGGCUGAUACCGCCCAAGAGUUCAUAUCGACGGCGGUGUUUGGCACCUCGAUGUCGGCUCAUCACAUCCUGGGGCUGAAGUAGGUCCCAAGGGUAUGGCUGUUCGCCAUUUAAAGUGGUACGCGAGCUGGGUUUAGAACGUCGUGAGACAGUUCGGUCCCUAUCUGCCGUGGGCGCUGGAGAAUUGAGGGGGGCUGCUCCUAGUACGAGAGGACCGGAGUGGACGCAUCACUGGUGUUCGGGUUGUCAUGCCAAUGGCACUGCCCGGUAGCUAAAUGCGGAAGAGAUAAGUGCUGAAAGCAUCUAAGCACGAAACUUGCCCCGAGAUGAGUUCUCCCUGAGACCUUGAGUCUCCUGAAGGAACGUUGAAGACGACGACGUUGAUAGGUCGGGUGUGUAAGCGCAGCGAUGCGUUGAGCUAACCGAUACUAAUGAACCGUGAGGCUUAACCUU
This 2901-nucleotide ribosomal RNA is filed under the name Enterobacter cloacae. RNAcentral describes it as "bacterial LSU rRNA". It matches the Rfam family "Bacterial large subunit ribosomal RNA". Lineage: Bacteria; Pseudomonadati; Pseudomonadota; Gammaproteobacteria; Enterobacterales; Enterobacteriaceae. The record is from RNAcentral.